Molecule: ribosomal RNA, 371 nt
Filed under: uncultured bacterium
Lineage: Bacteria
Description: bacterial SSU rRNA
Rfam family: Bacterial small subunit ribosomal RNA
Source: RNAcentral
GACGAACGCUGGCGGCGUGCUUAACACAUGCAAGUGGAGCGACGAACCGGGGGCUUGCCCCGGGGCAGAGCCGCGAACGGGUGAGUAACACGUGGGUAACCCACCCGAUGACCGGGACAACCCGAGGAAACUCGGGCUAAUACCGGAUGUGCUCCUUGACCUCGAGGUCAAGGCGUAAAGAUAGCUUCGGCCUUCGCAUCGGGACGGGCCCGCGGCCCAUUAGCUUGUUGGUGGGGUAAAGGCCUACCAAGGCGACGAUGGGUAGGCUGGUCUGAGAGGACGAUCAGCCACACUGGGACUGAGACACGGCCCAGACUCCUACGGGAGGCAGCAGUGGGGAAUCUUGCGCAAUGCGCGAAAGCGUGACGCAG